Molecule: ribosomal RNA, 465 nt
Filed under: uncultured bacterium
Lineage: Bacteria
Description: partial 16S ribosomal RNA
Rfam family: Bacterial small subunit ribosomal RNA
Source: RNAcentral
CCUACGGGUGGCAGCAGUGGGGAAUAUUGCGCAAUGGGCGAAAGCCUGACGCAGCGACGCCGCGUGAGGGAUGAAGGUCUUCGGAUCGUAAACCUCUGUCAGCAGGGAAGAACGGUCACUGUGCUAAUCAGCAGUGAAUUGACGGUACCUGCAAAGGAAGCACCGGCUAACUCCGUGCCAGCAGCCGCGGUAAUACGGAGGGUGCGGGCGUUAAUCGGAAUUACUGGGCGUAAAGCGCUCGUAGGCGGUAUGUCAAGUCAAGGGUGAAAUCCCCGCGCUCAACGUGGGAACUGCCUUUGAAACUGGCAAACUGGAGUGUGUGAGAGGAUAGUGGAAUGCCAGGUGUAGGAGUGAAAUGCGUAGAUAUCGGGAGGAACAUCAGUGGCGAAGGCGACUAUCUGGCACAUAACUGACGCUGAGGAGCGAAAGCGUGGGUAGCAAACAGGAUUAGAUACCCGAGUAGUC